This 468-nucleotide ribosomal RNA is filed under the name uncultured bacterium. RNAcentral's name for it is "partial 16S ribosomal RNA". It matches the Rfam family "Bacterial small subunit ribosomal RNA", at positions 28 to 507 of the family's 1533-position model. The record is from RNAcentral.
GACGAACACUGGCGGCGUGCUUAACACAUGCAAGUCGAACGGAAAGGCCCUGCUUUUGUGGGGUGCUCGAGUGGCGAACGGGGGAGUAACACGUGAGUAACCUGCCCUUGACUUUGGGAUAACUUCAGGAAACUGGGGCUAAUACCGGAUAGGAGCUCCUGCUGCAUGGUGGGGGUUGGAAAGUUUCGGCGGUUGGGGAUGGACUCGCGGCUUAUCAGCUUGUUGGUGGGGUAGUGGCUUACCAAGGCUUUGACGGGUAGCCGGCCUGAGAGGGUGACCGGCCCCAUUGGGACUGAGAUACGGCCCAGACUCCUACGGGACGCAACAGUGGGGAAUAUUGCACAAUGGGCGGAAGCCUGAUGCAGCAACGCCGCGUGCGGGAUGACGUCCUUCGGGUUGUAAACCGCUUUCGCCUGUGACGAAGCGUUAGUGACGGUAAUGGGUAAAGAAGCACCGGCUAACUACGUG